GACGAACGCUGGCGGCGUGCUUAACACAUGCAAGUCGAACGGAAAGGCCCUGCUUUUGUGGGGUGCUCGAGUGGCGAACGGGUGAGUAACACGUGAGUAACCUGCCCUUGACUUUGGGAUAACUUCAGGAAACUGGGGCUAAUACCGGAUAGGAGCUCCUGCUGCAUGGUGGGGGUUGGAAAGUCUCGGCGGUUGGGGAUGGACUCGCGGCUUAUCAGCUUGUUGGUUGGGUAGUGGCUUACCAAGGCUUUGACGGAUAGCCGGCCUGAGAGGGUGACCGGCCACAUGGGGACUGAGAUACGGCCCAGACUCGUACGGGAGGCAGCAGUGGGGAAUAUUGCACAAUGGGCGGAAGCCUGAUGCAGCAACGCCGCGUGCGGGAUGACGGCCUUCGGGUUGUAAACCGCUUUCGCCUGUGACGAAGCGUGAGUGACGGUAAUGGGUAAAGAAGCACCGGCUAACUACGUG
This 468-nucleotide ribosomal RNA is filed under the name uncultured bacterium. RNAcentral describes it as "partial 16S ribosomal RNA". It matches the Rfam family "Bacterial small subunit ribosomal RNA", at positions 28 to 507 of the family's 1533-position model. The record is from RNAcentral.